CUAAUCAAGUUUUUUGGGGUCGAGGUGCCGUAAAGCACUAAAUCGGAACCCUAAAGGGAGCCCCCGAUUUAGAGCUUGACGGGGAAAGCCGGCGAACGUGGCGAGAAAGGAAGGGAAGAAAGCGAAAGGAGCGGGCGCUAGGGCGCUGGCAAGUGUAGCGGUCACGCUGCGCGUAACCACCACACCCGCCGCGCUUAAUGCGCCGCUACAGGGCGCGUCCAUUCGCCAUUCAGGCUGCGCAACUGUUGGGAAGGGCGAUCGGUGCGGGCCUCUUCGCUAUUACGCCAGCUGGCGAAAGGGGGAUGUGCUGCAAGGCGAUUAAGUUGGGUAACGCCAGGGUUUUCCCAGUCACGACGUUGUAAAACGACGGCCAGUGAAUUGUAAUACGACUCACUAUAGGGCGAAUUGGGCCCGACGUCGCAUGCUCCCGGCCGCCAUGGCCGCGGGAUUGGCUAACUCCGUGCCAGCAGCCGCAGUAAUACGGAGGAUCCGAGCGUUAUCCGGAAUUAUUGGGUUUAAAGGGUGCGUAGGCGGCUAUUUAAGUCAGCGGUGAAAUUUUGCAGCUUAACUGUAACAGUGCCGUUGAAACUGUUUAGCUAGGAUUUGGUUGCAGUGUGCGGAAUGUGUGGUGUAGCGGUGAAAUGCUUAGAUAUCACACAGAACACCAAUUGCGAAGGCAGCACACUAAGUCAAUAUUGACGCUGAGGCACGAAAGUGUGGGGAUCAAACAGGAUUAGAUACCCUGGUAGUCCACACUGUAAACGAUGAUAACUCGCUGCCGGCGAUACAUUGUUGGUGGCCAAGCGAAAGCAUUAAGUUAUCCACCUGGGGAGUACGACCGCAAGGUUGAAACUCAAAGGAAUUGACGG
Molecule: ribosomal RNA, 869 nt
Filed under: uncultured bacterium
Lineage: Bacteria
Description: bacterial SSU rRNA
Rfam family: Bacterial small subunit ribosomal RNA (bases 309-869)
Source: RNAcentral